RNAcentral lists this ribosomal RNA (253 nucleotides) under uncultured bacterium. RNAcentral's name for it is "partial 16S ribosomal RNA". It matches the Rfam family "Bacterial small subunit ribosomal RNA", at positions 524 to 776 of the family's 1533-position model. The record is from RNAcentral.
UACGUAGGGUGCGAGCGUUGUCCGGAAUUAUUGGGCGUAAAGAGCUCGUAGGCGGUUUGUUGCGUCUAUCGUGAAAACCUGCGGCUUAACUGUGGGCUUGCGGUGGAUACGGGCAGACUUGAGUUCGGUAGGGGAGACUGGAAUUCCUGGUGUAGCGGUGAAAUGCGCAGAUAUCAGGAGGAACACCAGUAGCGAAGGCGGCUCGCUGGGCCAUUCCUGACGCUGAGACGCGAAAGCGUGGGGAGCAAACAGG